This is a non-coding RNA of Drosophila melanogaster (fruit fly), 99 nucleotides long. Its record names the gene mir-285. Lineage: Eukaryota; Metazoa; Arthropoda; Insecta; Diptera; Drosophilidae. The record is from Ensembl.
UCGAAUCGAAGAACUGAGAUCGAUUGGUGCAUAGAUAUCAGGAGAACCCACUCAAUUUAACUCUAGCACCAUUCGAAAUCAGUGCUUUUGAUAAGAAAC